Molecule: long non-coding RNA, 711 nt
Organism: Juglans regia (Persian walnut)
Lineage: Eukaryota; Viridiplantae; Streptophyta; Magnoliopsida; Fagales; Juglandaceae
Exons: 2
Source: RefSeq, a predicted model, not a curated record
UUAUCUUGAACCACAAAACAUAGCAUACCGCCCAAACACCCCUUCAUCUUCCAACCCCGCGGACUUGUCAGAGCACCUUUCCUCCCUCACCGAACAAUGACGACCUCGAACGCCCAGACCCACCCUCCCAAAUCCGACCCUCUCUCCCAAGCCCAUCAAACCCGUGACCCCAGAAGCCGACGACUAGAACUGGUGUGGUGAACCUCUCAAUUGACGACGGGACUUCGAGCGGCAACCCUCUAGGCAUCAAGAUCCACCACCUCCAAAGUAAGCAAAUAGAAAUGUGGUCCCAACGGCGAUGGAGAUAGACAGAGAACAACGACAGUCUGGUUGCGAUGGCGAAAUGGUUGACGGUGGUGGGAAGAAAAAAAUGUAGCGUCUGUGGAGAAGAAGUCGUGGGAGUGAGUUGAGAGAGAAAAAUGUAGCGGCUCAGACACAGAAUGCAGGGUUCUCUUUCUCUAGAUCUCCUGUGAUGCAGCUCAGGAGCUUAUUAUGUGGAAUGCUUACGUGUUUAUAUGCUAUUGGUGUUCGUUACUCUCAAUAGAAUAGCAAAUCCGCUCCAAAGCAAAACUCAUUUCAUGGACAUCAUAAACUUCUAGUGACUUUCUUGAUCAGGUAGAUAAAUAAUGUCAUAAAUUGCUGAUUCGUGGGUACGUUGAGUCAAUUUUUGUAUCUGUACUAAAAAUUUGCAUCCAAAUGUCCAUUUGGUUU